GUCGAGCGGACAGAUGGGAGCUUGCUCCCUGAUGUCAGCGGCGGACGGGUGAGUAACACGUGGGUAACCUGCCUGUAAGACUGGGAUAACUCCGGGAAACCGGGGCUAAUACCGGAUGCUUGAUUGAACCGCAUGGUUCAAUUAUAAAAGGUGGCUUUUAGCUACCACUUACAGAUGGACCCGCGGCGCAUUAGCUAGUUGGUGAGGUAACGGCUCACCAAGGCAACGAUGCGUAGCCGACCUGAGAGGGUGAUCGGCCACACUGGGACUGAGACACGGCCCAGACUCCUACGGGAGGCAGCAUUAGGGAAUCUUCCGCAAUGGACGAAAGUCUGACGGAACAACGCCGCGUGAGUGAUGAAGGUUUUCGGAUCAUAAAACUCUGUUGUUAGUGAAGACCAAGUACCGUUCCAAUAGGGCGGUACCUUGACGGUACCUACCCACAAAUCCGGUGUUAAAUACAUGCCAACACCUGUUGUAAUUCUUCGGUGGCAAACGAAGUCAAAAAAUUAUUGCGCCGAAAUGGGGGCGCACCCGGUUUCUUAAAGUUGAUUUCAAACCCCCCGAGCUCAACCCCGAGAGGGGAUUUGUAAUAGGGUUGAACUGAGUCUCUAAAAGGG
RNAcentral lists this ribosomal RNA (620 nucleotides) under Bacillus licheniformis. Its description in RNAcentral is "bacterial SSU rRNA". It matches the Rfam family "Bacterial small subunit ribosomal RNA", at positions 61 to 658 of the family's 1533-position model. The record is from RNAcentral. Lineage: Bacteria; Bacillati; Bacillota; Bacilli; Caryophanales; Bacillaceae.